RNAcentral lists this ribosomal RNA (428 nucleotides) under uncultured bacterium. RNAcentral describes it as "partial 16S ribosomal RNA". It matches the Rfam family "Bacterial small subunit ribosomal RNA", at positions 354 to 796 of the family's 1533-position model. The record is from RNAcentral.
GUGGGGAAUAUUAGGCAAUGGGCGAAAGCCUGACCUAGCAACGCCGCGUGAAGGAAGAAGGCCUUCGGGUUGUAAACUUCUUUUAUGAGGGACGAAGGACGUGACGGUACCUCAUGAAUAAGCCACGGCUAACUACGUGCCAGCAGCCGCGGUAAUACGUAGGUGGCGAGCGUUGUCCGGAUUUACUGGGUGUAAAGGGCGCGUAGGCGGACUGGCAAGUCAGAUGUGAAAUACAGGGGCUUAACUCCUGAACUGCAUUUGAAACUGCUGGUCUUGAGUAUCGGAGAGGCAAGCGGAAUUCCUAGUGUAGCGGUGAAAUGCGUAGAUAUUAGGAGGAACACCAGUGGCGAAGGCGGCUUGCUGGACGACAACUGACGCUGAGGCGCGAAAGCGUGGGGAGCAAACAGGAUUAGAAACCCGAGUAGUCC